Molecule: ribosomal RNA, 420 nt
Filed under: uncultured bacterium
Lineage: Bacteria
Description: partial 16S ribosomal RNA
Rfam family: Bacterial small subunit ribosomal RNA
Source: RNAcentral
AUAUUUUACAAUUGGCGCAAGCCUGAUCCAGCCAUACCGCGUUGGUGAAGAAGGCCUUCCGGUUGUUAAGCCCUUUUGUUUGGAAAGAAAUCCUGCUUGCUAAUACCUGGCUGGCAUGACGGUCACCCAAGAAUAAGCACCGGCUACCUCUGUGCCAGCAGCCGCGGUAAUACGACGGGUGCAAGCGUUACUCGGAAUUACUGGGCGUAAAGCGUGCGUAGGUGGUCGUGUAAGUCCGUUGUGAAAGCACUGGGCUCAACCUGGGAACCGCAGUGGAUACUGGGCGACUAGAAUGUGGUAGAGGGUAGCGGAAUUCCUGGUGUAGCAGUGAAAUGCGUAGAGAUCAGGAGGAACAUCCAUGGCGAAGGCAGCUACCUGGACCAAAAUUGACACUGAGGCACGAAAGCGUGGGGAGCAAAC